This 551-nucleotide ribosomal RNA is filed under the name uncultured archaeon. Its description in RNAcentral is "bacterial SSU rRNA". It matches the Rfam family "Archaeal small subunit ribosomal RNA", at positions 326 to 879 of the family's 1478-position model. The record is from RNAcentral.
CGGGGUGCACCAGGCGCGAAAACUGCACAAUGCUGGGAACAGCGAUGCGGGAAUUCCAAGUGCCGGCACAAUGUGUCGGCUGUUCCAUUGUCUAAAAAACAUAGGAAGUAAGGGCUGGGUAAGACGGGUGCCAGCCGCCGCGGUAAUACCUGCAGCCCGAGUGGUGGCCGUUAUUAUUGGGCCUAAAACGUCCGUAGCCGGUUGGGUAGAUGCCUGUGUAAAUCGAACGGCUUAACCGUUCGAACUGCGGGUAGACCGCCCGACUAGGGACCGGGAGAGUCACGAAGUACUCCGGGGGUAGAGGUGAAAUUCUGUAAUCCUCGGGGGACUACCGGUGGCGAAGGCGUCGUGAUAGAACGGCUCCGACGGUGAGGGACGAAGCCCUGGGGCGCAAACCGGAUUAGAUACCCGGGUAGUCCAGGGUGUAAACGCUGCGGUCUUGGUGUCGGCAGUCCUACGUGGGCAGUCGGUGCCGGAGAGAAGUUGUUAAGACCGCUGCCUGGGGAGUACGGCCGCAAGGUUGAAACUUAAAGGAAUUGGCGGGGGAGCAC